AACUCUUAGCGGUGGAUCACUCGGCUCGUGCGUCAAUGAAGAACGCAGCUAGCUGCGAGAACUAAUGUGAAUUGCAGGACACAUUGAUCAUCGACACUUCGAAAGCACUUUGCGGCCCCAGGUUCCUCCUGCGGCUACGUCUGUCUGAGGGUCG
RNAcentral lists this ribosomal RNA (154 nucleotides) under Salmo salar (Atlantic salmon). RNAcentral describes it as "5.8S ribosomal RNA (ENSSSAG00000115444.1, ENSSSAG00020081627.1, ENSSSAG00070039102.1, ENSSSAG00075017857.1)". It matches the Rfam family "5.8S ribosomal RNA". From Rfam's summary of the family: 5.8S ribosomal RNA (5.8S rRNA) is a component of the large subunit of the eukaryotic ribosome. It is transcribed by RNA polymerase I as part of the 45S precursor that also contains 18S and 28S rRNA. Lineage: Eukaryota; Metazoa; Chordata; Actinopteri; Salmoniformes; Salmonidae. The record is from Rfam by way of RNAcentral.